RNAcentral lists this ribosomal RNA (446 nucleotides) under uncultured bacterium. Its description in RNAcentral is "partial 16S ribosomal RNA". It matches the Rfam family "Bacterial small subunit ribosomal RNA", at positions 330 to 793 of the family's 1533-position model. The record is from RNAcentral.
GCCAGACUCCUACGGGAGGCAGCAGUGGGGAAUAUUGCACAAUGGGGGAAACCCUGAUGCAGCGACGCCGCGUGAGCGAAGAAGUACCUCGGUAUGUAAAGCUCUAUCAGCAGGGAAGAAGAUGACGGUACCUGACCAAGAAGCUCCGGCUAAAUACGUUCCAGCAGCCGCGGUAAUACGUAUGGAGCAAGCGUUAUCCGGAUUUACUGGGUGUAAAGGGCGUGUAGCCGGGUUGACAAGUCAGAUGUGAAAUCCUGCGGCUUAACCGCAGAACUGCAUUUGAAACUGUUGAUCUUGAGUACUGGAGAGGCAGACGGAAUUCCUAGUGUAGCGGUGAAAUGCGUAGAUAUUAGGAGGAACACCGGUGGCGAAGGCGGCCUGCUGGACUGCGACUGACGUUGAGGCCCGAAAGCGUGGGGAGCAAACAGGAUUAGAUACCCCGGUAU